AAUUGUGCAGAAAAUUGACGAUCAGUGCUGUGACCACCACAAACACCACACAUUAACAACAACAACAGCAACAACGGUAUACAAACAACAGUUCCCGCUCAAUAUAGUGCAAAUUAAAAGUGGGAGAUUCGAGAGAUUUAACCGAAAGCCGCAAAAAGAAAAACUUGUUGGCUGUGCUCUCUAUUCAAACUCAACAAAUAGAAUAACUGACUGUGUGUGUGUGCGCGUCUGCUCUAUAUAUACAAUACAAAUCAAAUAUACAUACAUUCACAUUAGUGUUACAUAUACACGUGAGCCAAAACGAACAGAGACUGUAAUCGUGUAACCGUAACCAAUAACGUCACUCCAACUGUAACGGUCAACCAACAGCAUUCGCGCGACUCUCUUUGCACGACGAAGAAAAAGUAAACGGCAAAUAAAGAAGCGCGUUCUAACGACUCGAUCGUUACGUUGUAAACGCCAUCUAGCGUCAUUUCGCGAACAUUCGGCGUGCGUUGUCCUUGUUUAGUUUCGGCCGUAGUGCAAAAGUGAUUUCUCUGCCUCCUUAUCGCGCUCUCUCUCUACCACGAGCAUUCGUCUACGUGUCUCGCAGCACACAUCGCGAUCUGCAUCUUGAGAAUUCGGAUAAGAAUUAUUAAAGCACGACUUAUCGCUCAAUCCAGCAGCAAUAAAUAGGGCAAACAUUUAGAACAGAGGACGCAGUGAGAGAAAAAAAAGGCGCAUUCACGAAAUACAUCGUCCGUCAGAGCCAGUGAAA
RNAcentral lists this small RNA (757 nucleotides) under Drosophila mojavensis. RNAcentral's name for it is "GI26226". The record is from RNAcentral. Lineage: Eukaryota; Metazoa; Arthropoda; Insecta; Diptera; Drosophilidae.